GCUUGCUGUUUCGCUGACGAGUGGCGGACGGGUGAGUAAUGUCUGGGAAACUGCCUGAUGGAGGGGGAUAACUACUGGAAACGGUAGCUAAUACCGCAUAACGUCGCAAGACCAAAGAGGGGGACCUUCGGGCCUCUUGCCAUCGGAUGUGCCCAGAUGGGAUUAGCUAGUAGGUGGGGUAACGGCUCACCUAGGCGACGAUCCCUAGCUGGUCUGAGAGGAUGACCAGCCACACUGGAACUGAGACACGGUCCAGACUCCUACGGGAGGCAGCAGUGGGGAAUAUUGCACAAUGGGCGCAAGCCUGAUGCAGCCAUGCCGCGUGUAUGAAGAAGGCCUUCGGGUUGUAAAGUACUUUCAGCGGGGAGGAA
RNAcentral lists this ribosomal RNA (371 nucleotides) under Escherichia coli. RNAcentral's name for it is "bacterial SSU rRNA". It matches the Rfam family "Bacterial small subunit ribosomal RNA", at positions 78 to 449 of the family's 1533-position model. Lineage: Bacteria; Pseudomonadati; Pseudomonadota; Gammaproteobacteria; Enterobacterales; Enterobacteriaceae. The record is from RNAcentral. RNAcentral also lists the same sequence under 1 other name.